AUUGAACGCUGGCGGCAGGCCUAACACAUGCAAGUCGAACGGUAACAGGAAACAGCUUGCUGUUUCGCCGACGAGUGGCGGACGGGUGAGUAAUGUCUGGGAAACUGCCUGAUGGAGGGGGAUAACUACUGGAAACGGUAGCUAAUACCGCAUAACGUCGCAAGACCAAAGAGGGGGACCUUCGGGCCUCUUGCCAUCGGAUGUGCCCAGAUGGGAUUAGCUAGUAGGUGGGGUAACGGCUCACCUAGGCGACGAUCCCUAGCUGGCCUGAGAGGAUGACCAGCCACACUGGAACUGAGACACGGUCCAGACUCCUACGGGAGGCAGCAGUGGGGAAUAUUGCACAAUGGGCGCAAGCCUGAUGCAGCCAUGCCGCGUGUAUGAAGAAGGCCUUCGGGUUGUAAAGUACUUUCAGCGGGGAUGAAGGGAGUAAAGUUAAUACCUUUGCUCAUUGACGUUACCCGCAGAAGAAGCACCGGCUAACUCCGUG
RNAcentral lists this ribosomal RNA (490 nucleotides) under uncultured bacterium. Its description in RNAcentral is "partial 16S ribosomal RNA". It matches the Rfam family "Bacterial small subunit ribosomal RNA", at positions 30 to 507 of the family's 1533-position model. The record is from RNAcentral.